This 429-nucleotide ribosomal RNA is filed under the name bacterium. RNAcentral describes it as "partial 16S ribosomal RNA". It matches the Rfam family "Bacterial small subunit ribosomal RNA", at positions 355 to 776 of the family's 1533-position model. The record is from RNAcentral.
UAGGGAAUCUUCGGCAAUGGGGGCAACCCUGACCGAGCAACGCCGCGUGAGUGAAGAAGGUUUUCGGAUCGUAAAGCUCUGUUGUAAGAGAAGAACGUGUGUGAGAGUGGAAAGUUCACACAGUGACGGUAACUUACCAGAAAGGGACGGCUAACUACGUGCCAGCAGCCGCGGUAAUACGUAAGUCGCGAGCGGUGUCCGGAGUUAUUGGGCGUAAAGCGAGCGCAGGCGGUUUAAUAAGUCUGAAGUUAAAGGCAGUGGCUUCACCAUUGUUCGCUUUGGAUACUGUUAAACUUGAGUGCAGAAGGGGAGAGUGGAAUUCCAUUUGAAGCGGUGAAAUGCGUAGAUAUAUGGAGGAACACCGGUGGCGAGAGCGGCUCUCUGGUCUGUAACUGACGCUGAGGUUCGAAAGCGUGGGGAGCAAACAGG